UUUUGUUAUUUCCAAAACUCUUU
RNAcentral lists this small nuclear RNA (23 nucleotides) under Arabidopsis thaliana (thale cress). RNAcentral's name for it is "snRNA_10180". Lineage: Eukaryota; Viridiplantae; Streptophyta; Magnoliopsida; Brassicales; Brassicaceae. The record is from RNAcentral.